UGCCCGUUGGUCAAGUGGUUAAGACACCGCCCUUUCACGGCGGUAACAUGGGUUCAAAUCCCGUACGGGUCA
This 72-nucleotide transfer RNA is filed under the name Lactobacillus delbrueckii subsp. bulgaricus. Its description in RNAcentral is "tRNA-Glu". It matches the Rfam family "tRNA". From Rfam's summary of the family: Transfer RNA (tRNA) molecules are approximately 80 nucleotides in length. Their secondary structure includes four short double-helical elements and three loops (D, anti-codon, and T loops). Further hydrogen bonds mediate the characteristic L-shaped molecular structure. tRNAs have two regions of fundamental functional importance: the anti-codon, which is responsible for specific mRNA codon recognition, and the 3' end, to which the tRNAs corresponding amino acid is attached (by aminoacyl-tRNA synthetases). tRNAs cope with the degeneracy of the genetic code in two manners: having more than one tRNA (with a specific anti-codon) for a particular amino acid; and 'wobble' base-pairing, i.e. permitting non-standard base-pairing at the 3rd anti-codon position. Lineage: Bacteria; Bacillati; Bacillota; Bacilli; Lactobacillales; Lactobacillaceae. The record is from RNAcentral.